UGAGCCAAGUUUAGGGUUUUCUCAAAACCAAGCAGUAUUGAACUGAAGAGUUUGAUCAUGGCUCAGAUUGAACGCUGGCGGCAGGCCUAACACAUGCAAGUCGAGCGGAUGAAGGGGGCUUGCUCCUGGAUUCAGCGGCGGACGGGUGAGUAAUGCCUAGGAAUCUGCCUGGUAGUGGGGGAUAACGUCCG
RNAcentral lists this ribosomal RNA (191 nucleotides) under Pseudomonas aeruginosa. RNAcentral describes it as "partial 16S ribosomal RNA". The stretch from base 40 to 191 matches the Rfam family "Bacterial small subunit ribosomal RNA", at positions 1 to 152 of the family's 1533-position model. Lineage: Bacteria; Pseudomonadati; Pseudomonadota; Gammaproteobacteria; Pseudomonadales; Pseudomonadaceae. The record is from RNAcentral.